RNAcentral lists this ribosomal RNA (253 nucleotides) under uncultured bacterium. Its description in RNAcentral is "partial 16S ribosomal RNA". It matches the Rfam family "Bacterial small subunit ribosomal RNA", at positions 524 to 776 of the family's 1533-position model. The record is from RNAcentral.
UACGGGGGGGGCAAGCGUUGUUCGGAAUUACUGGGCGUAAAGGGCUCGUAGGCGGCCAACUAAGUCAGACGUGAAAUCCCUCGGCUUAACCGGGGAACUGCGUCUGAUACUGGAUGGCUUGAGUUUGGGAGAGGGAUGCGGAAUUCCAGGUGUAGCGGUGAAAUGCGUAGAUAUCUGGAGGAACACCUGCGGCGAAGGCGGGUUGCUGAGCUGACACUGACGCUGAUGCGCGAAAGCCAGGGGAGCGAACGGG